Long non-coding RNA from Carica papaya (papaya), 1280 nucleotides. RefSeq lists it as uncharacterized. NCBI's taxonomy places the organism in Eukaryota, Viridiplantae, Streptophyta, Magnoliopsida, Brassicales, Caricaceae. The record is from RefSeq and is a predicted model, not a curated record.
UCCUUCAUUCAGCAAAUGAGAACUGAAAUGAGAAAGGAGGAGAGGAGCCGACCGGGUGAGAGAGUAGACCGAGAUUGAGGAGGAGUCGAGCCGAUAAGGAGAAGGGAACAUCGUGUGAAGGAGAGACAAGCAAAGAAACUAGAAGGGGAGACGGAAAUGCUGUCGAAAAGGGAAAUGAGGAGGUGUCACGGAGGCAAAAAGCCGAAGGGAAAGGAAGAAAAGGGAAUCGCGAUCGAGAAACACCGUGUUGCAUACGAUGUUAGUGUCCGAAAUUCGGUGUGAAACCAAUCACCCAAUCUUCGAAGCAAGCGAGGAGUACUCUCGGGGAACCCAGGGAGACCAUCCUCCAGAAGCUAAGAGUCAAACCCGAGGCUGUUCGGGUUUUCAGUGCACCGCACCCGAACCAAGUUUCGGGAGCUAGAGCGCUCACUUUGCCACGAUGAGUGAAGUCUUCUCGGAAAAAAUCAAAAAUCGUCUCUAGUAGUAAAAAUCGAAAAAAUGAAGUUGUUUGGCCUUCACCGCAGCAAACCGAAUCGGAUUUUAGGAACAAAAUCAUCCAACCCUAAGCAAAGAGCUAAAGUGGUGGUUCGUUGAAUACUGAAGAAUGAGAUUGUUGUGGCUAUUGAUCAAAUGGAGUACAAUUUGUUGAGGGACUUUGGGAAUGAAAAAGGAAAUGUCGGUGCUCAUACCGAUGUGUUUGAUAUUUGAAGGAAAUAUGUGUUGGAUAAUUGUACUUCAUAUUUGUUGGUACCAAUGGUAUGUUGUCCCAAGAGUCCGAGUUGGGUUCCGCUCUUGUUGUUUUCCACAGCACCUGAGGAGACAUUGAGUUUGCACUCUUUCUAAGAGUUGCAUCCAAAACUGUUGAACACAUUUUCAAACGUGGUUCAAACUUGACAUGGAGACAUUGAGAUCAAUUUUGACAAGUUUCAUGCCGAGCAGAAGUGAACUUAUUUCAUCCCAUCAUGUUUUUCAGACAAUGAGAUGCUCAACACAACAGAGGGUGAACCUGAAGACCAUUUGAAUUAUAUAAAUAUUUUAUAUAGUCCAUAAUCAUACUUUUACUUUCCGCCUUUAUUAAUUUAUUUUUACUCAGAUGUAAAGCUGAUGAAAAUUACGAAGUAAAAGAAAAAAAAAUGAUUAUAUCUAUAUAUAUAUAUUUAUCUGUAAUGAGACCAUACGAACAAUUUAUCAUGCUUAAUAUUUGUAGGUAAAGAAUCAGCAACGUAGCUAAGUCUUGUAUUUUCUGAACUACAUGUAUAACAUCAUAAAAUGAGGCAAAA